UACGUAGGGGCCUAGCGUUGUCCGGAUUUAUUGGGCGUAAAGAGCUCGUAGGCGGCUUGGUUAGUCAGGUGUGAAAUCUCCACGCUCAACGUGGAGGGGCCACCUGAUACUGCCAUGGCUUGAGUCCGGUAGGGGAGUGUGGAAUUCCCGGUGUAGCGGUGAAAUGCGUAGAUAUCGUAAGGAAGACCAGUGGCGAAGGCGGGUCUCUGGACAGUUCCUGACGCUGAGGCACGAAGGCCAGGGGAGCAAACGGG
RNAcentral lists this ribosomal RNA (254 nucleotides) under uncultured bacterium. Its description in RNAcentral is "partial 16S ribosomal RNA". It matches the Rfam family "Bacterial small subunit ribosomal RNA", at positions 524 to 776 of the family's 1533-position model. The record is from RNAcentral.